AAAAUUAUUUUGCUCUGUCUUGUACGAGUCGUGUUUUUAUCCAAAACUCGGUCUUCCUUUCGGUUGUUCGGCUGUUGUACAAGACAAAUAAUUGCAAAUUUUCUUCUUUUGAAAAAUAUUCCAUCAAACAUGGCACUUCGUCUGUUCCGUCUCAGCCAGGAUUUAGUCACUCCGUUAAUCAAACGGGGUUGUGCUGUAUCGGCAUUCGAGCUACAGCACAAAAAUCCAAUCCAGCGCAAGGUGGAGCAGAUUCCGGUGGCACAGUACGGAGGCCGACACACGGUAACCAUGCUACCGGGCGGUGGUAUUGGGCCGGAGCUGAUGAACUACGUUAGAGAGGUAUUCCGGUUUGCCGGUGUACCGGUGGAUUUUGAAAUUGUAGACAUCGAUCCGGCGAGCGAGGGAAACGAAGAUCUGGAGUACGCUAUCAUGUCUAUCAAACGGAACGGUGUAGCUAUCAAGGGAAACAUUGAGACCAAAUCGGAAUCGACUGGGAUCGUUUCGCGUAAUGUGGCUCUCCGAAAUGAACUGGAUUUGUACGUGAAUGUGCUGCAUUGUAAAUCGUUCAAUGCCAUCCCCGCGCAUCAUCAGAACGUGGAUGUUGUCAUCAUCCGACAAAAUACGGAGGGUGAAUAUGCUAUGCUGGAGCACGAGAGUGUCCGUGGUGUGGUGGAAAGCAUGAAGGUGAUAACGGUGGAGAAUGCGGCUCGAGUGGCCCGAUUUGCGUUCGAGUUUGCCCGCAAUAACAAUCGCAAGAAGGUGACCACCAUUCACAAGGCCAACAUUAUGAAACUUGCCGACGGAAUGUUUCUGAAGGUGGCCCGUGAUGUUGCCAAAGAGUAUCCGGACAUUCAGCACAACGAUAUGAUCAUCGACAACUGCUGUAUGCAGCUGGUAUCCAACCCGCAUCAGUUCGACGUGAUGAACACGACAAACCUGUACGGUAGCAUCACUUCCAACGUGCUGUGCGGUUUGGUGGGAGGUGCUGGUCUGUUCUCCGGUCGGAACUACGGCGAUCAUUACGCGGUUUUUGAACCGGGUACCCGUAACACUGGCACUUCCAUUGCCGGUAAGAACGUGGCCAACCCGGUGGCCAUGCUGAACGCUGCCGUCGACAUGCUGUACCAUUUGGGCCAUCGGUACCAUGCCGAUAGUAUUUCCGAUGCACUGCACAAGACAAUCGACGUUGACGGAAUUCACACACCGGACUUGGGUGGUCAAAACACCAGUACGGAAAUCGUGCAGAAAGUUCUGCAGCAUCUGGCCGAGAAGAGAACCUAUUGGCAACCGUCGAGCUGGUGAUGAGAUGCUAAAUGUCCUCUGCGCAAAACCUCCCAAAGAUUGUACCUACUUAUUUUCGCAUAUUAACAGUCAAUAUUUUUUUUCCUCAAAAGCAAACUAAUUGUGCCGCGAAACUCACGAGAAAGCUUAACCAGUAGACGAUUGUUUAAUGUUUUACGUUUCCCUCCGAACCAAAUAAAAACAAAACUGCUCCUUCUGUUGAAUCUAAACAAGCGCUGCUUGGUUUGCAUGAUAGGUGUUAAAAUUAACCAUAGUACGUGUAUAGGUUAAAAAAAAUGGGUAAAUCAAACGUAGAGGCAUCCAAGUGACCGUUGACAAUCCCACCUAUUGGUGUUUGAUUCUUUUGGAACAGCAACAAGAUUUCGUUCAGAGGAGAAUCUCACGACUGCAACCCCCCAAUUUGUUGUGUUCUAUUUAUAUUAAGUUAUGGAAGCGCAAAACAAGCUUAUUCUUUUACCUUCGAGAUCCUCUCUACCAAAAGCAACAGUAACAGUACGAGCAAAGUUUACGGGCUAAAACAAAACAUCAACAACAACAACAACCAAAAGAACGAAACUAUGCAUAAAACAAAACCCCCCAGGUAAGCUGUAGGUACCUACCAGCUGAUAGAAGUGGAAAGCGAAAUUUCAUAAAUAAAUCAUGGCAACCAACCGUCGGACGUUCCGCUGCUGCUGCUGCUGCCGGAUGCCCACUAAAAGUCACCGAGAAUAAUCACAACAGACAAUCGCUAUCCAAGUAACCGGAGCAACUCUUGACGUACAAACGUACAGGUCCAGGGUGGCAUAGCGAUGCUGCUGGGAAAUUGUACCUUUUGGAAGAGUUUAGCUUGAUCUCCUAUCCUCCCGAAUUAUUUUAUGUUCUCGGAAGAAAUGAAAAAAAAACUGAACGAAAAAGUUUAUGUUUCGCAGAAAUCGUUUGGUUGCAUUCGGACUGUUGAUAAGAAACGAAAUAUCGUUAGUGAAAAAUUAUAAAACUACUAUGGAAACAGCCAAUCUGUUGAUUCUGUGUAAAAAACUCCAUUUAUAGCGUCCGUUAAAAAUGUACUUAAAGCGAAUUUGCAGAAAAAAACCGUUGAUGAAUCGAAA
Molecule: RNA transcript, 2387 nt
Organism: Topomyia yanbarensis
Lineage: Eukaryota; Metazoa; Arthropoda; Insecta; Diptera; Culicidae
Gene: Idh3g
Gene name: isocitrate dehydrogenase [NAD] subunit gamma, mitochondrial
Exons: 5
Source: RefSeq, a predicted model, not a curated record